GCCUGCUUCUACUAUUCGUGUAGCAGCAGGAAAAGCAAGUACCAAUUACAUCAGUAAUGCUGACAAAGACAUCAUCAGAUAUUUCAGUUUAGACAAGAAAGCCAGAAAAGCAUACUCCCAGAGGCUCCAAGACCAGCAACAAGCAGAAAGUUUGGCUGAGACUCAGAUAAGGUUAUUUAUCUGCCCUUGCUCACUUCUUUCCUAAGGCCAGGCCUGCCUGUCUCUGUGGUCCUCAGAGUUUAAUCAUCUCACCCAAAUUGCCCAGUUCUCCACCAUGAACUGAUGCUUCUCUCCAGUUUCAGAAGUGGAAGAGGGGUGAAGCAGUCCCACACUGUGAGCAUUCAGAAGCUGCUUGCAAAGAAUUUGGCUUCCAGUUUAUGAAGAUCCAUGACCACUUCAACAUGUUUAAAGGACAUACAUCAAUUUCAUAGGUGGCAUGAGAGGGUUUA
Molecule: long non-coding RNA, 449 nt
Organism: Cyanistes caeruleus (blue tit)
Lineage: Eukaryota; Metazoa; Chordata; Aves; Passeriformes; Paridae
Source: RefSeq, a predicted model, not a curated record